GUCCCUGUAGCGCAAUGAAUAGCGCGUAAUCCAAAGAUCGUGGGAUCGAAUCCUACCUGGGAUG
This is a non-coding RNA of Trichonephila clavata, 64 nucleotides long. NCBI's taxonomy places the organism in Eukaryota, Metazoa, Arthropoda, Arachnida, Araneae, Nephilidae. The record is from the annotation of a GenBank genome assembly.